This is a long non-coding RNA of Balaenoptera ricei (Rice's whale), 207 nucleotides long. RefSeq lists it as uncharacterized. NCBI's taxonomy places the organism in Eukaryota, Metazoa, Chordata, Mammalia, Artiodactyla, Balaenopteridae. The transcript is spliced from 2 exons. The record is from RefSeq and is a predicted model, not a curated record.
CCGGUCAGUUCCCAAACUCCGAGCUCGCAAUCGGGCCCCUAACUCUGGGCCGGCCUGUACCAAGCGCGCGAUCCCAUCCCGGAACCAAAGCCCUGUUCUCUAGGGAACACUCCACCUCGGUGUCUCGCAGGCCACCCUUUAACAACCCCAGGAAGGCACCCUGGUGAUAAUAAAAGCAACGUGGCUAAUGUUCAUGGAGGGUUCACA